GUGGGGAAUAUUGGGCAAUGGGCGAAAGCCUGACCCAGCAACGCCGCGUGAAGGAAGAAGGUUUUCGGAUUGUAAACUUCUGUCCUCAGGGAAGAAGGAAGUGACGGUACCUGAGGAGGAAGCCCCGGCUAACUACGUGCCAGCAGCCGCGGUAAUACGUAGGGGGCGAGCGUUGUCCGGAAUGACUGGGCGUAAAGGGCGCGUAGACGGCUGUCUAAGUCUGGAGUGAAAGUCCUGCUUUCAAGGUGGGAAUUGCUUUGGAGACUGGAUGGCUUGAGUGCGGAAGAGGUAAGUGGAAUUCCCAGUGUAGCGGUGAAAUGCGUAGAGAUUGGGAGGAACACCAGUGGCGAAGGCGACUUACUGGGCCGUAACUGACGUUGAUGCGCGAAAGCGUGGGGAGCGAACAGGAUUAGAAACCCUGGUAGUCC
This 428-nucleotide ribosomal RNA is filed under the name uncultured bacterium. RNAcentral describes it as "partial 16S ribosomal RNA". It matches the Rfam family "Bacterial small subunit ribosomal RNA", at positions 354 to 796 of the family's 1533-position model. The record is from RNAcentral.